RNAcentral lists this unclassified non-coding RNA (242 nucleotides) under uncultured Cortinarius. Its description in RNAcentral is "sequence contains ITS1". The record is from RNAcentral. Lineage: Eukaryota; Fungi; Basidiomycota; Agaricomycetes; Agaricales; Cortinariaceae.
UUGAAAUAAACCUGAUGAGUUGCUGCUGGUUCUCUAGGGAGCAUGUGCACACUUGUCGUCUUUAUAUUUCCACCUUGUGCACCUUUUGUAGACCUGGAUAUCUCUCUGAAUGCACACAAGCAUUUGGGUUUGAGGGGUUGACUUUUUGGUCUCCCUUUAUAUUUCCAGGCCUAUGUUUCUUUCAUAUACCCCACUUGUGUUAUAGAAUGUAAUAAAUGGGCCUUUGUGCCUGUAAAGCUAUA